UACGGGGGGGGCAGGCGUUGUUCGGAAUUACUGGGCGUAAAGGGCUCGUAGGCGGCCAACUAAGUCCGACGUGAAAUCCCCAGGCUUAACCUGGGAACUGCGUCGGAUACUGGAUGGCUUGAAUCCGGGAGAGGGAUGCGGAAUUCCAGGUGUAGCGGUGAAAUGCGUAGAUAUCUGGAGGAACACCGGUGGCGAAGGCGGCAUCCUGGACCGGCAUUGACGCUGAGGAGCGAAAGCCAGGGGAGCGAACAGG
This 253-nucleotide ribosomal RNA is filed under the name uncultured bacterium. RNAcentral describes it as "partial 16S ribosomal RNA". It matches the Rfam family "Bacterial small subunit ribosomal RNA", at positions 524 to 776 of the family's 1533-position model. The record is from RNAcentral.